RNAcentral lists this ribosomal RNA (497 nucleotides) under uncultured bacterium. Its description in RNAcentral is "partial 16S ribosomal RNA". It matches the Rfam family "Bacterial small subunit ribosomal RNA", at positions 28 to 507 of the family's 1533-position model. The record is from RNAcentral.
GAUGAACGCUGGCGGCGUGCCUAAUACAUGCAAGUCGAGCGAACAGACGAGGAGCUUGCUCCUCUGACGUUAGCGGCGGACGGGUGAGUAACACGUGGAUAACCUACCUAUAAGACUGGGAUAACUUCGGGAAACCGGAGCUAAUACCGGAUAAUAUAUUGAACCGCAUGGUUCAAUAGUGAAAGACGGUUUUGCUGUCACUUAUAGAUGGAUCCGCGCCGCAUUAGCUAGUUGGUAAGGUAACGGCUUACCAAGGCAACGAUGCGUAGCCGACCUGAGAGGGUGAUCGGCCCCACUGGAACUUAGACACGGGCCAGACUCCUACGGGAGGCAGCAGUAGGGAAUCUUCCGCAAUGGGCGAAAGCUUGACGGAGCAACGCCGCGUGAGUGAUGAAGGUCUUCGGAUCGUAAAACUCUGUUAUUAGGGAAGAACAAAUGUGUAAGUAACUAUGCACGUCUUGAAGGUACCUAAUCAGAAAGCCACGGCUAACUACGUG